CCCAGAUGGAGAGCUAAGUGGCGCUGGCCUCACCACUCCUGGGUACCCAGUCCAGAGUUGACUGUCCCGUGAAAUGUCCUUGUUGCGAGGAUGUGCUCCAGCUGUCUAUUUCUGGGGUCAUAGUGGUCCUGACAGGGACUUUGUGAAUGUCUGGGCCCCAAGCCGCCUGGAGGGGAAAUCUGAGGGCCCUGGGGCUGGAGUAGAGCCCUUGGGGAACCUACAAGAGGGGCUGAUCCCGCUCUGUGAAGGGAGAUUGAGGGACGGGGGAGUCGGAAUUGCUUCCCCCUGAAUCCGUAGUACUACAACUGUCCACUAGGUGGGGUUCCAGGGCAGAGAGUGAGAAUAGGGAUGACCCAGCGCUAGUAGCAAGAGACCAGCUUUUAAAUCUCCGCCCGCCACAGCAACCUCGGAAGCGCUCACACAGGGAGGGACAGCACAUAUGCUCGCACCUUAGACGCUCACACACAUUUUCUUCUAGUGAACUCUAAAAUAGAACUCACAUUGGGUGCAGGGGAGGUGUUAAAAGGGGAGUCUAGUUUCGUUUACACGCGCACUAUCCUAAACUGAAGGUGGGAUGUCAAGUCUUCUGCUCCGGGAGUGCGAGAGUGAACGACAGAGACAGGGGGCUGGGGGAACAGGACGCACGGGAGAGGGAGAGCCAGGCACUGGCGAGACGAUGUCGGGGUUGGCAUGCACAGCUCCAUGUAUCACAGACACGCAGGAGGAAAGGCCAGAUGACAGACGGAUGCACCAUGCACAGACACACAUACAGCUCCAGAGAGAACACACAAACCCGCAGACACAUCACACAGCUCCACAGACGUCGGGCCGACCCAGGGACACACACGCGCGCACACACAGGUGCGGCCCCGGGCCACACGCACACCUCGCACAGGCACGCGCGCCGGCCCUCUGCGGCCGGCUGGGAGAAGGUGGCCGCGCUCACCGGGCAUGUUUAUUUACUCAUUUGUAUCAAUGAACGUUUGUACCCGACUCCUCCCGCCUCCGGGUGCCAGGGCCGCCGCGUUUGUCCUCGGCGCGGGACACUCACCGGGACCAGCAUCGGGGUUCCUCGGACGCUGCAGGGGGAGGAGGGGACUACAAAGUUAGGGGGUCUCGAGGUGUCCGAGAGGAGGGGCUGCAGGGUCAUUGGUCGGGGACGCGGAAGGGGAGAGGGGAACAUCGGGGUCUUGUGGGGUAAGAGACAUUUGGAGAGGAGGAGAGACCUUGCAUCCAAGGUUUAGGGAUGUACGGAUCAGGGAUGGGGGAUCCCAGCCAGGGGGAAUUGGGAGUGGCAAAUGGGAGGGUUGAGGGGUCCCAGGAGACAGGAGCCGGCGAGAUUCCGCGGGAUAAGAGCUCAGGACCCUAAGCACAGGUUCAGGGGCUUUUGGCACCCCUCAAUAGAAGGGCAGUCCAGCCAAGACCUCAGCCGCUGGGGCGACGGCCCACGCGGGACUGCCUGGAGCGGGAGGAGGGGGCCGGGACCCGGGAGGGAGGAAAAGAGGGAGGGAAGUAGCCUAGCAGCCAAGCGGGCACCGUGCGAGAGCGCACCGUAUGUGUGUGCGUGCGUGUGUGUGUGUGUGUGUGUGUGUGUCUCAUCUCGUCCGUCUGUAGGUGCCGGGCUCAGCGAGACGCCGGCGAGAAGGAAGAGGAGGCGAGAGGUGAACUGAGUUUGAUCCUGCGGCGGCUACAACAGCAACUCCAGAGCCGAGAGACUGCGUCCCGGGACGGACUGCCUUUUCUUAAUUGAUACAAUAGCCCAGCUCGGGUUUUCACCUCCUCCCCCAACUCCACCCCGCCUCACCCCUCCCGCCCGCCGCCGCAGCCGCCGCCGCCGCCGCCCCAGCGCCCGCCCGGGGCUCUGUCGCCGGCCGCGUCCCGUCCCGGCCGCGCUCCGCCGGCUCCGCACCCGCGCGCCCGCCGCCGCGCCCGCCGCGC
Long non-coding RNA from Equus caballus (horse), 1938 nucleotides. The record is from Ensembl. NCBI's taxonomy places the organism in Eukaryota, Metazoa, Chordata, Mammalia, Perissodactyla, Equidae.